CCUACGGGUGGCAGCAGUCGAGAAUCAUUCACAAUGGGGGAAACCCUGAUGGUGCGACGCCGCGUGGGGGAAUGAAGGUCUUCGGAUUGUAAACCCCUGUCAUGUGGGAGCAAAUUAAAAAGAUAGUACCACAAGAGGAAGAGACGGCUAACUCUGUGCCAGCAGCCGCGGUAAUACAGAGGUCUCAAGCGUUGUUCGGAAUCACUGGGCGUAAAGCGUGCGUAGGCUGUUUCGUAAGUCGUGUGUGAAAGGCGCGGGCUCAACCCGCGGACGGCACAUGAUACUGCGAGACUAGAGUAAGGGAGGGGGAACCGGAAUUCUCGGUGUAGCAGUGAAAUGCGUAGAUAUCGAGAGGAACACUCGUGGCGAAGGCGGGUUCCUGGACAGUAACUGACGCUGAGGCACGAAGGCCAGGGGAGCGAAAGGGAUUAGAUACCCUGGUAGUC
This 446-nucleotide ribosomal RNA is filed under the name uncultured bacterium. RNAcentral describes it as "partial 16S ribosomal RNA". It matches the Rfam family "Bacterial small subunit ribosomal RNA", at positions 338 to 795 of the family's 1533-position model. The record is from RNAcentral.